CAGGUGGCGAGUGCAAGGGCACAAGGGAGCUUGACUGUGAGACGGACGUGUCGAGCAGGUGCGAAAGCAGGGCCUAGUGAUCCGGCACCUACGUGUGGAAGUGGUGUCGCUCAACGGCUAAAAGGUACCCCGGGGAUAACAGGCUGAUCUUCCCCAAGAGUCCAUAUCGACGGGAUGGUUUGGCACCUCGAUGUCGGCUCGUCGCAUCCUGGGGCUGGAGUAGGUCCCAAGGGUUGGGCUGUUCGCCCAUUAAAGCGGCACGCGAGCUGGGUUUAGAACGUCGCGAGACAGUUCGGUCCCUAUCCGCUGCGCGCGUAGGAGAAUUGUGAGGGUCUGUCCCUAGUACGAGAGGACCGGGACGGACGGACCUCUGGUGUGCCAGUUGUCCCGCCAGGGGCACGGCUGGUUGGCUACGUUCGGUCGGGAUAACCGCUGAAAGCAUCUAAGCGGGAAGCCUUCCUCGAGAUGAGUUCUCCCACCCCUUUGUGGGUGUAAGGCCCCCGGUAGACGACCGGGUUGAUAGGCCGGAGAUGGAAGCGCGGUAACGUGUGGAGUCGACCGGUACUAAUAGGCCGAGUGGCUUGAACACAC
RNAcentral lists this ribosomal RNA (591 nucleotides) under Actinomadura bangladeshensis. Its description in RNAcentral is "partial 23S ribosomal RNA". It matches the Rfam family "Bacterial large subunit ribosomal RNA", at positions 2339 to 2925 of the family's 2925-position model. Lineage: Bacteria; Bacillati; Actinomycetota; Actinomycetes; Streptosporangiales; Thermomonosporaceae. The record is from RNAcentral.